CCUACGGGAGGCAGCAGUGAGGAAUAUUGGACAAUGGGCGAGAGCCUGAUCCAGCCAUGCCGCGUGCAGGAAGACGGCCCUAUGGGUUGUAAACUGCUUUUAUACGGGAAGAAACACCCCUUCGUGAAGGGGCUUGACGGUACCGUAAGAAUAAGGAUCGGCUAACUCCGUGCCAGCAGCCGCGGUAAUACGGAGGAUCCAAGCGUUAUCCGGAAUCAUUGGGUUUAAAGGGUCCGUAGGCGGGACAAUAAGUCAGUGGUGAAAGUCUGCAGCUCAACUGUAGAAUUGCCAUUGAUACUGUUGUUCUUGAGUGUUUAUGAAGUGGUUAGAAUAUGUAGUGUAGCGGUGAAAUGCAUAGAUAUUACAUAGAAUACCGAUUGCGAAGGCAGGUCACUAAUAAAUACUGACGCUGAUGGACGAAAGCGUAGGUAGCGAACAGGAUUAGAUACCCUGGUAGUCUACGCCGUAAACGAUGGUUACUAGCUGUUUGGUCUUCGGACUGAGUGGCUAAGCGAAAGUGAUAAGUAACCCACCUGGGGAGUACGUUCGCAAGAAUGAAACUCAAAGGAAUUGACGGGGGCCCGCACAAGCGGUGGAGCAUGUGGUUUAAUUCGAUGAUACGCGAGGAACCUUACCAGGGCUUAAAUGUAGUCUGACAGGAGUGGAAACACUCCCUUCUUCGGACAGAUUACAAGGUGCUGCAUGGUUGUCGUCAGCUCGUGCCGUGAGGUGUCAGGUUAAGUCCUAUAACGAGCGCAACCCCUGUUGUUAGUUGCCAGCGAGUAGUGUCGGGAACUCUAACAAGACUGCCGGUGCAAACCGUGAGGAAGGUGGGGAUGACGUCAAAUCAUCACGGCCCUUACGUCCUGGGCCACACACGUGCUACAAUGGUAGGGACAGAGAGCAGCCACGUCGCAGGCGGAGCGAAUCUAUAAACCCUAUCUCAGUUCGGAUCGGAGUCUGCAACUCGACUCCGUGAGCUGGAAUCGCUAGUAAUCGCAUAUCAGUCAUGACGCGGUGAUACGUUUCCCAGG
Molecule: ribosomal RNA, 1034 nt
Filed under: uncultured bacterium
Lineage: Bacteria
Description: bacterial SSU rRNA
Rfam family: Bacterial small subunit ribosomal RNA
Source: RNAcentral